RNAcentral lists this long non-coding RNA (982 nucleotides) under Homo sapiens (human). RNAcentral describes it as "HSALNT0131368". Lineage: Eukaryota; Metazoa; Chordata; Mammalia; Primates; Hominidae. The record is from RNAcentral.
CUCUCAAGUAGCUGGGAUUACAGACACAUACCACCAUGCCCAGCUGGGUUUUUUUUUUUUUUUUUUUUUGUAUUUUUAGUAGAGACUGGGUUUCACCGUAUUGGCCAGGCUGGUCUCGAGCUCCUGACCUGAAAUGAUUCACCCGCCUUGGCCUCCCAAAGUGCUGGGAUUACAGGCAUGAGUCGCUGCACCUGGCCUCUGGUCAAAUUUCUGAGGGCAUGAGUGCUGUGUCAUUUUCUGUUCUUGCCUCUUCCGUAGAACCAGCUAGUUCAAAUACAGCAGGUAGUCUCAAGUUGCUGCUGGUGACUUCAGCGAUGUUCCUUUGUAAGACCUGGUGGUUUCCUUCUUUUAUCUGCAUGAAGUUUCCCAGAGAUUGUUUUGAAAAGUAUCUGCAUCAUGUUUCUCAGGUCAUCUGCAAAACUAUUUUCCAAAGAUUCAAAGGAGGAUUCAGGAAUCAGCGAAGGGAGAAAAUAGAGGCUUUUCCCCAUCUUUCGUGAUCUAACUUUCUCAAGCACUGAAGAGCUCUUGUCAGUGAUAUUUUUGGGAACUCACUCAAACUGAGGAAAUUCACAGCUAAGGCUGAUGUUCCUGGACUCUUGGCAUUGUGUUGCCUUAGAAAUUUCUUUUUCAAGACUAUAGAUUGCCCAGCUUCAGCCUGGACUUGGCAUUUUCUGACUUUUGACAAGGGGGCCUUUUACAGUAUUUAAAAAAAGGGUGUGAGGGGUCAGGUGGGAGGUGGGGAAGGGGCAUUGUUGGUAUAUAACACAGGAUAAGGAAUUAGGAGAUGCUGAUGUGAAAUUGAGUUUGAAUAUCAGGCCUGUGCAAUUGCUUUUUAUUAUAUGACAACAAUGCUACUUCUUCCUUAGAAAAAUGAAAAAAAGGCAGACACGUUACAUGCUCUAGUUUAAGUAUGUUCCAGAUACUUCCUCUUAAGCAAAAGCCUUCACUUAACUGCCUGUUAGCCACCAAACUACUAGACUGC